UACAGAGGAGCCAAGCGUUGUCCGGAUUGACUGGGCGUAAAGCGCACGCAGGCGGUUGCGCGCGUGGGGUGUGAAAUCUGGCCGCUUAACGGCCAGGCGCCAUCCCAUACGGCGCGACUGGAGUGAUGCAGAGGUCGAUGGAAUUGCCGGUGUAGUGGUGAAAUGCGCAGAUAUCAGGAGGAACACCGGUGGCGAAGGCGGGUCUCUGGGCCAUAACUGACGCUGAGGAGCGAAAGCGUGGGGAGCGAACAGG
This 253-nucleotide ribosomal RNA is filed under the name uncultured bacterium. RNAcentral's name for it is "partial 16S ribosomal RNA". It matches the Rfam family "Bacterial small subunit ribosomal RNA", at positions 524 to 776 of the family's 1533-position model. The record is from RNAcentral.